UGCAUAUCAAUAAGCGGAGGAAAAGAAACUAACAAGGAUUCCCCUAGUAACGGCGAGUGAAGCGGGAAAAGCUCAAAUUUGUAAUCUGGCGCCUUCGGCGUCCGAGUUGUAAUCUCGAGAAGUAUUUUCCGCGCUGGACCGCACACAAGUCUGUUGGAAUACAGCGUCAUAGUGGUGAGAACCCGGUAUAUGGUGCGGAUGCCCAGUGCUUUGUGAUAUACUUUCGAAGAGUCGAGUUGUUUGGGAAUGCAGCUCAAAUUGGGUGGUAAAUUCCAUCUAAAGCUAAAUAUUGGCGAGAGACCGAUAGCGAACAAGUACCGUGAGGGAAAGAUGAAAAGCACUUUGGAAAGAGAGUUAACAGUACGUGAAAUUGUUGGAAGGGAAACGCUUGAAGUCAGACUUGCAUUUUGGGGUUCAGCCGCAAGGUGUACUCUCCAAUUCGCAGGCCAGCAUCAGUUUUCGGGGGUGGAAAAUCGCGGUUUGAAGGUAGCAGUCUCGGCUGUGUUAUAGCUUUCCGCUGGAUUCACUUUUGGGGACUGAGGAACGCAGUACGCUUUUUGCAAGAUUUUAGAGUCUUUCGUACUUAGGAUGCUGGUGGAAUGGCUUUAAACGACCCGUCUUGAAACACGGACCA
This 634-nucleotide ribosomal RNA is filed under the name Microbotryum moehringiae. RNAcentral's name for it is "partial large subunit ribosomal RNA". It matches the Rfam family "Eukaryotic large subunit ribosomal RNA", at positions 37 to 668 of the family's 3401-position model. Lineage: Eukaryota; Fungi; Basidiomycota; Microbotryomycetes; Microbotryales; Microbotryaceae. The record is from RNAcentral.